CACACUCUCUCUCUUCUCUCAAAAAUCUUGAGCUUUCUAAUUUCUCAGCGAAAGAGGGAGAACAAGCAGAGAAGCUGUUUCAAUAAGUAAUGUCAUGGAUGGUUCAUUCAACGUAUUCAAGAGUUCAUCAAGAUUGGAAAUAUUUUGUGAAGAAAGAUAAAGCUUGUACACCAACAGUAUUCAUCACCAAUGGAGAACAUUAUUCAUCAAUGAUGAGGAUUAAUAGUAAUGUUGUUUUAUUACUUUAGCAUAUAUACUGGCGUUAUCCUAACUGAGCUUUUCUCCGCUAAUCUUCUUCGAUAAAUCUUCCUCAUCUUUCUUUUUCUCUUGUUUUCUAAAACCAUCAAUCUUCGUUGUAUUGGAUCAUAUUCCUUCUUAUCUUUCCUUUCUAUCGUUGUCUUGACCUUGUAAGACCUUUUCUUGACCUUGUAAGACCCAGCUUCAAUCUCUUCUUCUCCGCUCUUUAAUCCAUCGUAAACCCAUUUUCUUCGCUUCUCUUUUUGUGUUUCCCACUCAACUCAUAUUCUCUUCUCCUGUCUAUCCCUCUUGAGCUUUUUCACAAAUUAAAAAUGGGCAUUCCUCAAAAUCAUACCCGUUUAGGAGUAUCCAUCUGAAAUUCGAUCAAGUAAAGCUAGAUUUUCUUACUACAACUCCGGCUUUAUCUCAGCUUAUUUCCCUAUUUUUUUCUUCUUUUAGCUAGGUUUUUUUUGUUUUAUUGUGUCUGACACUGAAGAAGAACAAUGAUGGAAACCAUAGUGGUAAAAGUCAUUCCCCCAAGUGACGAGUUCAUGGAGGUCGUGACUUCAAAGAGUUUAAGACCUACAUUAUUAGUUUAGUUUUCCACUAGUGGGGUAUUUUCCAGCAAGUCAAGUAUACGUUUGUCUCAAGUGUACCAACUGAUUCCAUUUUAAUUUUUUUGUUUUGUUUUUCUUUUAGUGUAACAAGAAUCAGUGGAAUACAACGAGAAAAAACUCACCUUA
This is a long non-coding RNA of Papaver somniferum (opium poppy), 980 nucleotides long. RefSeq lists it as uncharacterized. NCBI's taxonomy places the organism in Eukaryota, Viridiplantae, Streptophyta, Magnoliopsida, Ranunculales, Papaveraceae. The record is from RefSeq and is a predicted model, not a curated record. The transcript is spliced from 2 exons.